CCUACGGGAGGCAGCAGGUCAGAAUAUUGGACAAUGGGCGAAAGCCUGAUCCAGUGACGCCGCGUGGGCGAUGAAGCCCUUCGGGGUGUAAAGCCCUUUUCUGGGAGAAGAACUCCUGACGGUAUCCCAGGAAUAAGCCCCGACUAACUACGUGCCAGCAGUCGCGGUAAUACGUAGGGGGCAAGCGUUAUCCGGAAUUACUGGGCGUAAAGAGCGCGUAGGCGGCGUGGAAAGUUCGGCGUGAAAUCCAGAGGCUUAACCUGUGGGGGUCGUCGAAUACUUCUGCGCUAGAGGUGAAAAGAGGGAAGUGGAGCUUGUGGUGUAGCGGUGAAAUGCGUUGAUAUCACAAGGAACACCAGUGGCGAAGGCGGCUUCCUGGUUUCAUCCUGACGCUGAGGCGCGAAAGCUAGGGUAGCGAACGGGAUUAGAUCCCCCUGUAGU
Molecule: ribosomal RNA, 441 nt
Filed under: uncultured bacterium
Lineage: Bacteria
Description: partial 16S ribosomal RNA
Rfam family: Bacterial small subunit ribosomal RNA
Source: RNAcentral